Fukomys damarensis (Damara mole-rat) is the source of this 498-nucleotide long non-coding RNA. RefSeq lists it as uncharacterized. NCBI's taxonomy places the organism in Eukaryota, Metazoa, Chordata, Mammalia, Rodentia, Bathyergidae. The transcript has 3 exons. The record is from RefSeq and is a predicted model, not a curated record.
UCCUGUGAAGUGCUGGAUGCUGGCUGAAAAUCUCUUGGUUUGAAUCCUACCUCUGACACUGUCUGUAAGACUUCAGGAGCCCAGGACACAUGUUCUAGUGCUUUUGUGAGAUGCUGUGUUUGACCCAGCGCGAAUGGAUGCGGCAGAAUGCUGGCUCCAAGAAAAAGUUUUAAGAGACACUUCUCAGCCAGUUGGGGUAACACGUCCUUUGAAGUGGCGAGAGCUGUCAUCCUGGGACUGUGCUUCCCUGACAGCAGGCGGCCCGGCCCUGUGUGCCCGCUGAUGUUCUGCUGCCUAAAGACUCUGUGAUCUGUGACGCCUUUGAAGGGCCUUCUUGAAGAUGCUUCAUCUGUGCUUAGUCGAGACCCCAGUUCAGAGCCUAAUAGGAGUCACGGGCACUCAUUAAACAGUGCCAGCACAAGCGUCCAGGAAAGUGGUCAUUGUGCAAGGCUGCUGUCCAAGCCUCUUUGUAAAGUCUUGGUCGUGGGGAUAAAAAAA